RNAcentral lists this ribosomal RNA (496 nucleotides) under uncultured bacterium. Its description in RNAcentral is "partial 16S ribosomal RNA". It matches the Rfam family "Bacterial small subunit ribosomal RNA", at positions 29 to 507 of the family's 1533-position model. The record is from RNAcentral.
AUGAACGCUGGCGGCGUGCCUAAUACAUGCCAGUCGAGCGAACAGAUAAGGAGCUUGCUCCUUUGAAGUUAGCGGCGGACGGGUGAGUAACACGUGGGUAACCUACCUAUAAGACUGGGAUAACUUCGGGAAACCGGAGCUAAUACCGGAUAACAUUUAGAACCGCAUGGUUCUAAAGUGAAAGAUGGUUUUGCUAUCACUUAUAGAUGGACCCGCGCCGUAUUAGCUAGUUGGUAAGGUAACGGCUUACCAAGGCGACGAUACGUAGCCGACCUGAGAGGGUGAUCGGCCACACUGGAACUGAGACACGGUCCAGACUCCUACGGGAGGCAGCAGUAGGGAAUCUUCCGCAAUGGGCGAAAGCCUGACGGAGCAACGCCGCGUGAGUGAUGAAGGGUUUCGGCUCGUAAAACUCUGUUAUUAGGGAAGAACAAAUGUGUAAGUAACUGUGCACAUCUUGACGGUACCUAAUCAGAAAGCCACGGCUAACUACGUG